UUGGSUUUACCCGAAGACGGUGCGCUAACCCGCAAGGGAGGCAGCCGGCCACGGUARGSUCAGCGACUGGGGUGAAGUCGUAACAAGGUAGCCGUAGGUGAACCUGCAGAAGGAUCA
RNAcentral lists this ribosomal RNA (117 nucleotides) under uncultured eukaryote. RNAcentral describes it as "partial small subunit ribosomal RNA". The record is from RNAcentral.